GACGGACGCUGGCGGCGUGCCUAAUACAUGCAAGUUGAGCGCUGAAGGUUGGUACUUGUACCGACUGGAUGAGCAGCGAACGGGUGAGUAACGCGUGGGGAAUCUGCCUUUGAGCGGGGGACAACAUUUGGAAACGAAUGCUAAUACCGCAUAAAAACUUUAAACACAAGUUUUAAGUUUGAAAGAUGCAAUUGCAUCACUCAAAGAUGAUCCCGCGUUGUAUUAGCUAGUUGGUGAGGUAAAGGCUCACCAAGGCGAUGAUACAUAGCCGACCUGAGAGGGUGAUCGGCCACAUUGGGACUGAGACACGGCCCAAACUCCUACGGGAGGCAGCAGUAGGGAAUCUUCGGCAAUGGACGAAAGUCUGACCGAGCAACGCCGCGUGAGUGAAGAAGGUUGUCGGAUCGUAAAACUCUGUUGGUAGAGAAGAACGUUGGUGAGAGUGGAAAGCUCAUCAAGUGACGGUAACUACCCAGAAAGGGACGGCUAACUACGUG
This 497-nucleotide ribosomal RNA is filed under the name uncultured bacterium. RNAcentral's name for it is "partial 16S ribosomal RNA". It matches the Rfam family "Bacterial small subunit ribosomal RNA", at positions 28 to 507 of the family's 1533-position model. The record is from RNAcentral.